This 469-nucleotide ribosomal RNA is filed under the name uncultured soil bacterium. RNAcentral's name for it is "bacterial SSU rRNA". The stretch from base 2 to 367 matches the Rfam family "Bacterial small subunit ribosomal RNA", at positions 45 to 394 of the family's 1533-position model. The record is from RNAcentral.
AUGCUUUACACAUGCAAGCCGAACGGGGUGAGGGGGCAACUCCUCAUUCAGUGGCGAACGGGUGAGUAAUGCAUCGGAACGUGCCCCGUAGUGGGGGAUAACGCCGCGAAAGCGGCGCUAAUACCGCAUAUGCUCUACGGAGGAAAGUGGGGGACCUGACAGGGCCUCACGCUAUGGGAGCGGCCGAUGUCCGAUUAACUUGUUGGUGGGGUAAUGGUCUUCCUUGGCGACUAUCUGUAGCUGGUCUGAGAGGAUGCAUCGCCUUCCUGGUACUCCGACACGGCUCAUACUUCUUCCGUAGGCAACAAUGCGGAAUCUACCUCAAUGUGCUCCCACCCGAUACACCCCACCUCACCCGCAGCACCAACUUAUACGCGUCGGCAGUCAGUCUACUUUUUCUUACUCCUCUUCAUUCUACCAUAAGCCACACACUUUACCAUAACGGAGUAAGUAUAAAAAUCCUACUACU